GGUGCUAGUGGCGGACGGGUGAGUAACGCGUGGGAACAUACCCUUUGGUUCGGAAUAGCCUCGGGAAACUGGGAGUAAUACCGGAUAAGCUCUUCGGAGGAAAGAUUUAUCGCCAAAGGAUUGGCCCGCGUUGGAUUAGGUAGUUGGUGGGGUAAUGGCCUACCAAGCCGACGAUCCAUAGCUGGUUUGAGAGGAUGAUCAGCCACACUGGGACUGAGACACGGCCCAGACUCCUACGGGAGGCAGCAGUGGGGAAUUUUCCGCAAUGGGCGAAAGCCUGACGGAGCAAGACCGCGUGGGGGAAGAAGGCUCUUGGGUUGUAAACCCCUUUUCUCUGGGAAGAACAAAAUGACGGUACCAGAGGAAUCAGCAUCGGAUAACUCCGUGCCAGCAGCCGCGGUAAGACGGAGGAUGCAAGCGUUAUCCGGAAUGAUUGGGCGUACAGCGUCCGCAGGUGGCAGUUCACGUCUGCUG
This 474-nucleotide ribosomal RNA is filed under the name uncultured bacterium. RNAcentral describes it as "bacterial SSU rRNA". It matches the Rfam family "Bacterial small subunit ribosomal RNA", at positions 88 to 594 of the family's 1533-position model. The record is from RNAcentral.